Non-coding RNA from Cyanidioschyzon merolae strain 10D, 74 nucleotides. NCBI's taxonomy places the organism in Eukaryota, Rhodophyta, Bangiophyceae, Cyanidiales, Cyanidiaceae. The record is from the annotation of a RefSeq genome assembly.
GGGCGGUUGGGCCCGAUGGAGAAGGCGUUGGACUUCGGAUCCAAAGAUUGGGGGUUCAAGUCCCCCCGCGCGUG